Rhipicephalus sanguineus (brown dog tick) is the source of this 316-nucleotide long non-coding RNA. RefSeq lists it as uncharacterized. NCBI's taxonomy places the organism in Eukaryota, Metazoa, Arthropoda, Arachnida, Ixodida, Ixodidae. The transcript has 3 exons. The record is from RefSeq and is a predicted model, not a curated record.
CUGACGCUCCUCGUUGUUUGCUCGUCGACGGUCUGCUGCCAUUGAACCACUGCGCUUUGUUACAGUUCGUCCAUCAGGUGGUGGUUUCCUGACAGGGAAGUCCUUCACACCUUGCAUUGACAACGUUCCUCUCAUGCAAGCAUCCAGUCCUAGAGAGGCGUUCAAGAUAUUAUUCCUGGCACACUUUGCGUCAACUUUGCCCACCCAAAAGAGGCAAGUCUUAUCCUGGAGUUCACUCAUAGGUCAAUUGCCAAUGUCAGUCCCGGAAAGGGCACAACGACUGACCAUACACGUGGGAAACAGCACAACCUGAACC